GAUGAAGAACGCAGCGAAAUGCGAUAAGUAAUGUGAAUUGCAGAAUUCAGUGAAUCAUCGAAUCUUUGAACGCACAUUGCGCCCCCUGGUAUUCCGGGGGGCAUGCCUGUCCGAGCGUCAUUGCUGCCCUCAAGCCCGGCUUGUGUGUUGGGCCCCGUCCUCCGAUUCCGGGGGACGGGCCCGAAAGGCAGCGGCGGCACCGCGUCCGGUCCUCGAGCGUAUGGGGCUUUGUCACCCGCUCUGUAGGCCCGGCCGGCGCUUGCCGAUCAACCCAAAUUUUUAUCCAGGUUGACCUCGGAUCAGGUAGGGAUACCCGCUGAACUUAAGCAUAUCAAUAAGCGGAGGA
Molecule: unclassified non-coding RNA, 346 nt
Filed under: soil metagenome
Description: partial contains 5.8S ribosomal RNA, internal transcribed spacer 2, and large subunit ribosomal RNA
Rfam family: 5.8S ribosomal RNA (bases 1-120)
Source: RNAcentral